RNAcentral lists this ribosomal RNA (98 nucleotides) under uncultured eukaryote. RNAcentral describes it as "partial small subunit ribosomal RNA". The record is from RNAcentral.
UCGUUGCUACCGAUGCCAGUUGGAUACAGGUCAACAGACUUUCGACCUCUCGGGGAUUGAGAGAAAGUUGACCCAUGUUUAACUAGUAGAGGAAGCAA